UACGUAGGGGGCGAGCGUUGUCCGGAUUUAUUGGGCGUAAAGAGCUCGUAGGCGGUGUGUCGCGUCGGCCGUGAAAACCUGGGGCUCAACUCUGGGCGUGCGGUCGAUACGGGCAUCACUGGAGUUCGGCAGGGGAGACUGGAAUUCCUGGUGUAGCGGUGAAAUGCGCAGAUAUCAGGAGGAACACCGGUGGCGAAGGCGGGUCUCUGGGCCGAUACUGACGCUGAGGAGCGAAAGCAUGGGUAGCGAACAGG
RNAcentral lists this ribosomal RNA (254 nucleotides) under uncultured bacterium. RNAcentral describes it as "partial 16S ribosomal RNA". It matches the Rfam family "Bacterial small subunit ribosomal RNA", at positions 524 to 776 of the family's 1533-position model. The record is from RNAcentral.